Molecule: ribosomal RNA, 450 nt
Filed under: uncultured bacterium
Lineage: Bacteria
Description: bacterial SSU rRNA
Rfam family: Bacterial small subunit ribosomal RNA
Source: RNAcentral
GUGGGGAAUAUUGGACAAUGGGCGAAAGCCUGAUCCAGCCAUGCCGCGUGUGUGAAGAAGGUCUUCGGAUUGUAAAGCACUUUAAGUUGGGAGGAAGGGCAGUAAGUUAAUACCUUGCUGUUUUGACGUUACCGACAGAAUAAGCACCGGCUAACUUCGUGCCAGCAGCCGCGGUAAUACGAAGGGUGCAAGCGUUAAUCGGAAUUACUGGGCGUAAAGCGCGCGUAGGUGGUUGUGUAAGUUGGAGGUGAAAGCCCCGGGCUCAACCUGGGAACUGCCUCCAAAACUGCAUGACUAGAGUACGGUAGAGGGUAGUGGAAUUUCCUGUGUAGCGGUGAAAUGCGUAGAUAUAGGAAGGAACACCAGUGGCGAAGGCGACUACCUGGACUGAUACUGACACUGAGGUGCGAAAGCGUGGGGAGCAAACAGGAUUAGAUACCCUAGUAGUCC